UUAUUUUGUAGUAGCAGAUUUGCAUAAUUUUGUACUGUUUCUUUUCAUUUUGCUCAUGCUUAACAGGGAGCAGUUUUGUUUGUAGUUUCUGUAAAAUGACGCGGAUGGAUUCUCCUUGAUGUCUUUCUCACUUUAUCUGGAACUAUCGUGUCUUCUCCUCACCAAAGAAUCAGUUUCAGAGGUGUUCACUUUUGCCAAUCCCCCCGUCAUCCAAGCUUGAAAACUAGUAAAGCAUGCCCAGAUCCUCCAUUCGCUGUGCUAUUUUCCAGCUGGCAGGUAGAAAUUUGAAACACCUCGCCCAGAGUUACAGCCGCCCAGCUCAUAAAUGGUGAAGACCUGAAAUGGAGCCCACCUUGCUGGCUCCUGUGCCUUCUGAACACCUCUCCAGGAGAGCAAGCUCUUGUCACUGAUACUUCACUUCUAGCAUUGAAACCGCAAGAGAAGCAAUACCAGCAAGAGAUGAAUCAAAUCCUCCCUUCAGCCCUUGCUGUUGGCAGCUCCCUAUGGCAUUCUGAAUCAUUACCCUGGACAGACUUUUGUGACCCAAGGAUAAGCCUCCUUACAACAAAGAUAAUAGAAACCUGCCUUUGCUGCCAAGGAUGUUUCAUUUGUCUCUCAUACUGGGUCUUGCUGCUGGAGGUAACAUUUGCCAGCAUAAACUUUCAGCCUGCUGUUUACCAAAUUCCUCUGUACAUCACUCAUCAUGCUUCACCAGGGAAUUCAAGGCUUAUUUUGCCCUCCUGGACUGCUUUCCUAGCCUUAAGUCUUUGGCGACACAUUACAUCACAUACAUGUAAGACAGAUGCCUGCUUUUCCCUCCACUCAGGGAAGCUCUGAACCCACGAUGUCAGUAAAAUCCUGCUAAAGUUUUCAGAUCAGGAUGUCUGCCGGAGCUGCGUGAUCUUUCCAUCUCCAAGCCAAGCUCCUCAGGUUUUACUUCAAUUACA
This 947-nucleotide long non-coding RNA is filed under the name Homo sapiens (human). RNAcentral's name for it is "HSALNT0095994". The record is from RNAcentral. Lineage: Eukaryota; Metazoa; Chordata; Mammalia; Primates; Hominidae.